GUCGUGGAAUGUUCCAGAUUCCAUUGGGGACAGUUAGAAUGAGAUUGACGUCGGACGGAAAUAUUUGAACAAGAGAUUCAUGGAACGCCCGAGAUUCCUCCCGGGACAAUUGCAGAAGAUCAAUGUCGAACAGAAGUAUUUAGAAACGUAGAUAAUGGGAAUAUUUCGAAAUCCACGAAACAAGCGAUCCUCGAGAUUCCUGCAGCGACCGACACACGAAGAAAAGCCAGUGACAGGCGUGAUACGCGAUCCGCGAGAAAAAGUCACGGGAAAACGAGUCGGAGUUUCGUUUCGACUCUCUCGCGCGCGCGCAGAAAAACGCGACCAACUCGCGUUACGGCCAGGUAGUCGCAUAAUUUCUGAUCGGCGGUCUCGCGCGCAUCCUUGACACCAUCCGCCCAAAGGAUGUGCUAAAGGUCGCAGCUGUCGCGCGCGCGCGUGCACGCACGCCGGCGCGACAUGACGUCCGAUUUCGCGAUCGGACCGUUUCCAUCGAAGAAAUUUCCAGCUGUCCGCCUCGGAGUUUCGUCGAGGCAGCAACCGACAUGCAACCGACAACCGUGCCACAUGAAACUCGAUUUUCACCGAAGGAAACGCCGGGUAUUAAUAGCCAGCGGGAACACGAGAUGAAAGUAACGCGGCGCGUCGAGCAAAAGUGUAACACUUUUACGGAAGACGGGGAACCGGCGGACUUUCCACGUACCCCGCGAGGAUCUAUUAUUAAUUCAAGGCCGGAUCGAGGCGGGCGGAGGGCCGAGGACGAGGGGGGCAAGCGAGGAUCCCCGGCGAACGGACGCGUCCGCGGAGGAACGAGAUUCUUUCCGGAGGGAUGACUCCAUUUUGGAGAACCGCGGGCACCGCGGAGCGUGACCGCGUUAACGCCGUGGAAAACUUCGGCGUGCCGCUUUUCCCUCGGCGGGGAAGAUCGAAACGAGCAAUGAAUUAUCUGGUAACAGGAUUCUCGCAUCGGAAUAUUAUCCACUCAUUCACGCUGUUCAUUCUAAUUGGAUAGUUGUCCCAUGAAUUAUAAUCGUCUUCGGGUACUUCGGAAGCUAAGGCCACCGAUGACCGUCGCGGCAGUCAACGUGUUAAUUCCCGGGAAUACUCGAAAGGACGACCAGCGUCGCGGUAAACCAGUCGAUCGCGAAUAUUCUAGGUUGACCUUGACUCCUCCGGAGUGAAUCGGUCCAAGAGCUUCGACCGUUGGCUCCUGCUGGUCUCUAUUUUAUCAACGGGAACGUUCGGUCCGCGGGUGAGCGACGAUAGGAACGGUCGCGGGUAACGAUCCUACGAAGGGGGACUGUCGUGCAAUGUCUGCCGUUCGCAGGUACGGUUCCAUACGAAGGGCAAAGGGAAGGACAGCCAGGAAGCUGGAGUGGAUCGGCGCGUUAAGGGAUCACCGGCGUUAGACGCCUAAAUGGCUCGCACCUGAAAUUCACGGAGCUGGAUCCUUGAAGCAGACGGUUCCUCGUGAUCACUUACCCGUCCCCAUGGCUGACAGCAGCCUCCUUCAGCCACGAUUCCUCCUUGUAUACGUGGUCCAAUGCUGGUUGGUUUCACUAGCUGGUCAACGGUGGUAAGGAAAAAAAUAAAUAAACCACUGUACACCUCUCGGCGAAGACGUCGGGGAAAAGGACGAGCUCCUCGUCCAGCCGGUAGACCGCGGACGAACUGGCGGCUGGCGAAGACUUUUGGUGAGACUUCGACGUGAGAC
Molecule: non-coding RNA, 1714 nt
Organism: Nomia melanderi (Alkali bee)
Lineage: Eukaryota; Metazoa; Arthropoda; Insecta; Hymenoptera; Halictidae
Source: RefSeq, a predicted model, not a curated record